UAAUUUGUCAUUUAAGAAAAAAUAUAUUAUUACGUUGUAAAAUAUUGCUAAAUAUAAAUAUAUCGCCAUAUAGCAAUCAUAGCGAAAAUAUAACAUUUUAUGUAAAUUCUUUGUAUUUAUAAUGAAAAAAAAAACGACGAUUUAUAUGAUUAAGAUAUUUAUUUACACACCAAUAAUUCUUUACUAUAUAUAAUUAUAUAUAACAAAAGGUAACUUUCAUUACUUAUUAUAAAAUUAUAUCAGUACUACUCGCAGGUAACGAAAACAUGAUUUAUUAAAUAUUUUUUGCCUUCUUGUGUACAUAAUAUUAUUAUAAACAAAUAUUAUUAUAUCGUAAGCAGAUUUAUUUUAAUAAUGAUAAUUAAAAAAAGUUAUAUUUAAUGUUAAUGACAAUAUAAACGGAAUAUAUACCUAACUAAAAAACAUCUUUACAACAAUUUGAAAAUAAAACAUUACAAGAUAAAAAAGUACCCAUAAAUAAACAUAAAACCCCAUUAAAUACUCCGUCUCAUAACAAUAAUAAAUUAUUAUCUUAUAUAUAAAAUUCUCGUGUCACAAUGUUAGUUACAAUACUCCUCCGAAACGGCUGGACCGAUUUUUUAUGAAAUUUUGUGUGCUUAUCGGCUAGGUCUGAGAAUCGGCUAACAUCUAUUUCUCAUACCCCUAAGUUAUAGGGGGGUUGGUUAAUAGCAUAUAUGGCAAAACAACGAUUGCGGGUUCAGCUAGUUAUAGUAUAAAUAAAUAAUUAUAGUAAAUAUACACACAUUGUCGUUUUUUUUAGGUAGCAGCCGAUUUACGUAUACGAGAUUAUAUACUUAUUAUACUUAUUACAUAUUUUUUAUAUUUUAUAAUAAUCUAUCAAUAUAAAUAAAAAUAAAUGUUGCUAAGCGCAUAACUCGAGAAUGGCUCGACCUAUUCCAUUAAUUUAUUUUAUUGUAUGUUCCUUAAUAAGCUCCACGGAAGGUUUUAAUAAAAAAAAAUACUAUUAGAUUUUGUCAGAACGAAGUCUGUCCGGGUAGCUAGUUGUAUAUAUAAUAUAUAUAUAUAAAUUACAUUAAAACUCCAGGUGGGAAUCGAACCUACAUACACAUACGCUAUUUUUGCUUUAUAGUUCACCAAAUCAAAGAACAAAUAAAAAUACAACUAAGUUAUACCGUCAUAAUAUUAUUAACUAAAAAUACAACUAUAAUAGGUGGUGUUAGUUCUAAAAAGCAAUUCCUUUCAGACAACCUUUGAGUGAAAGAAAUAUUGCUUUGCAAAAGCUGGUGCUUUAAUAUUAUAAAUAACUAAAAAAGGCCAAUAAAUAUUUAAAAAAAAUCUAUUAUAUUUAAGUAAGUAUCGUUUAUAGGAAACUUAUAUUUACAAUGCUCACUCAUCCGUAUGUUCGUCACGGUCGUCCAUAUUACACGUAAAAUGCAAGGCUAUAUCUAAAUCAUAAUUAUGGCCUAUUAAACUUGUUUCUAAUUUUCCGAUAGGCUGAUUUCGGUUUCCGUGAUUUGAUUCAUAUAUUUACAUAAUUUGGCAUGUAUAUAGAUAAAUAGAUUGAUAGAUAGAUAAGCGUAUAAUACCUUGACUUGAGCAUAUUAAAAAUAUUAUAGCAAAACUUCUUUACGUACGCUUGACUUGAGAAGUAAGCUGUUGAAUGCGUAACAAUAGCGUUACGAAAAGUAUGAUCGGGGGUGACCAAACUGUUAUAAAAAGUGUGAUCGGGCGAGGUGAACGGAAGUUUAGAGGGAGAUAUAAGUUACUGAAGAUAGAAAGAGAGAGAGUUACGUUUCGUACAUUGCAGGGACAACUAAAGAGGUUUUAUUUCAGUCGUUUGGUCUAAAGCACAUUCGUUUUUAUAUGAUGUUGCCAGGCCUUAAAAUAAAACUGACACUGUUGCGGUUCGGCCACGGGUUGAGUCCUCCAGCUCGGGACACACAAAACGCGCCCGCAAUGCACAAUAUUAUCGCUAACCCUAGUAUCACCCAGCGGAUGGCUUCGACGUAGCCCAGUAGCUUAUUCGCUUGGUGAAGUUCUUCUUGGAUAUUUUUUGGUAUUUCUGCGCC
Molecule: unclassified non-coding RNA, 2051 nt
Filed under: Melitaea cinxia (Glanville fritillary)
Lineage: Eukaryota; Metazoa; Arthropoda; Insecta; Lepidoptera; Nymphalidae
Description: misc RNA ENSMCXG00005005289.1
Source: RNAcentral